This is a long non-coding RNA of Leptinotarsa decemlineata (Colorado potato beetle), 849 nucleotides long. The record is from RefSeq and is a predicted model, not a curated record. NCBI's taxonomy places the organism in Eukaryota, Metazoa, Arthropoda, Insecta, Coleoptera, Chrysomelidae.
CGACAAAAAAAUUUGAAUGGGCCAAUAAAUGAACCAAUUGCAUCAAUAAAUUGGUUAAUUCUCAUCCUAUUUGUCUUUUUGUAUUUGAAAUUAUUUAAUUACAAAGCGAAAAAUCCUGGAAACAGAGAAAUGGGGAAGUGAAUAAUUGGAGUAAACGUUUCUCAUUGGUCAAUUGAAGUGUAGCGCGCGACAGUCGAAUAAGCUCUGUGAAAGCGGCUGUCCCUUAAUGCAUGGUACAUUUGCGUUUGCGUUAAAUUCGACAUUUGAUUCAACAUGGCGGUUGACGUGGCAGGUUCGCGUGUGUAAUGCAUGAUGUGUUGGUGUUAUUAUCAAAGCAUAAUUCUGUCACGUUCAGUGUACCAUUUAUAAUUUGGGGUUGUCCAAUUUGCAGUACAGCGAAUAGUUUGAUUGUGGAUCUUCAAACAGGAGAGUUGCAUCUAUUCAGUCUUCAAGAAAAGUAUUACUAUUGAAACACUGGCUGAUGCAUUGUUGGACAAAUAUAAGGAAAACUAUUCUGGUGAGCAAAGUUUGAAUAACUUUAAGUAAGUGAAAUUCAUUGAAGAACCCAUCAUACCACUCAUUUUAAAUACUUCAUUUGUGGGUUUAUUUUUCUAAGUGAGAAACCUAACCUAACCUUUUUCUUGAUGUAAUACACUUUUUCUUUUUCAAUGAAAUGAUAUAUUUAUUAUUUUUUAAUUAGUGCUGAUGAAUUCACAGAGUUGUUAAUUUUAGUAUAUUUUUUAGUAUACAUUUGUUUGAGAGUAGGAACAUCCUAAUUUGAAUACAUUUUUAAUAUUUGUAAUAUGACAGUAUUCAGGAAUAUUUUAUUCAGUGAAUAAAUAUUUUGAA